Molecule: ribosomal RNA, 599 nt
Filed under: Pseudoalteromonas ruthenica
Lineage: Bacteria; Pseudomonadati; Pseudomonadota; Gammaproteobacteria; Alteromonadales; Pseudoalteromonadaceae
Description: bacterial SSU rRNA
Rfam family: Bacterial small subunit ribosomal RNA
Source: RNAcentral
UUAAUCGGCAUNACUGGGAGUAAAGCGUACGACGGCGGUUUGUUAAGCGAGAUGUGAAAGCCCCGGGCUUAACCUGGGAACUGCAUUUCGAACUGGCAGGCUAGAGUGUGAUAGAGGGUGGUAGAAUUUCAGGUGUAGCGGUGAAAUGCGUAGAGAUCUGAAGGAAUACCGAUGGCGAAGGCAGCCACCUGGGUCAACACUGACGCUCAUGUACGAAAGCGUGGGGAGCAAACAGGAUUAGAUACCCUGGUAGUCCACGCCGUAAACGAUGUCUACUAGGAGCUCGGCUUUUCGGAGCUGUUUUCCAAAGCAAACGCAUUAAGUAGACCGCCUGGGGAGUACGGCCGCAAGGUUAAAACUCAAAUGAAUUGACGGGGGCCCGCACAAGCGGUGGAGCAUGUGGUUUAAUUCGAUGCAACGCGAAAAACCUUACCUACACUUGACAUCCAGAGAACUUUCUAGAGAUAGAUUGGUGCCUUCGGGAACUCUGAGACAGGUGCUGCAUGGCUGUCGUCAGCUCGUGUGGUGAAAUGUUGGGUUAAGUCCCGCAACGAGCGCGCCCCCUAUCCUUAGNUGCCACCGAUUCGGUCGGGAACUCU